GACGAACGCUGGCGGCGUGCUUAACACAUGCAAGUCGAACGGAAAGGCCCUGCUUUUGUGGGGUGCUCGAGUGGCGAACGGGUGAGUAACACGUGAGUAACCUGCCCUUGACUUUGGGAUAACUUCAGGAAACUGGGGCUAAUACCGGAUAGGAGCUCCUGCUGCAUGGUGGGGGUUGGAAAGUUUCGGCGGUUGGGGAUGGACUCGCGGCUUAUCAGCUUGUUGGUGGGGUAGUGGCUUACCAAGGCUUUGACGGGUAGCCGGCCUGAGAGGGUGACCGGCCACAUUGGGACUGAGAUACGGCCCAGACUCCUACGGGAGGCAGCAGUGGGGAAUAUUGCACAAUGGGCGGAAGCCUGAUGCAGCAACGCCGCGUGCGGGAUGACGGCCUUCGGGUUGUAAACCGAUUUCGCCUGUGACGAAGCGUGAGUGACGGUAAUGGGUAGAGAAGCACCGGCUAACUACGUG
Molecule: ribosomal RNA, 468 nt
Filed under: uncultured bacterium
Lineage: Bacteria
Description: partial 16S ribosomal RNA
Rfam family: Bacterial small subunit ribosomal RNA
Source: RNAcentral